This 874-nucleotide ribosomal RNA is filed under the name uncultured bacterium. RNAcentral's name for it is "bacterial SSU rRNA". It matches the Rfam family "Bacterial small subunit ribosomal RNA", at positions 79 to 928 of the family's 1533-position model. The record is from RNAcentral.
CUGCUUCGCUUGACGAGUGGCGGACGGGUGAGUAAUGUCUGGGAAACUGCCUGAUGGAGGGGGAUAACUACUGGAAACGGUAGCUAAUACCGCAUAACGUCGCAAGACCAAAGAGGGGGACCUUCGGGCCUCUUGCCAUCGGAUGUGCCCAGAUGGGAUUAGCUAGUAGGUGGGGUAACGGCUCACCUAGGCGACGAUCCCUAGCUGGUCUGAGAGGAUGACCAGCCACACUGGAACUGAGACACGGUCCAGACUCCUACGGGAGGCAGCAGUGGGGAAUAUUGCACAAUGGGCGCAAGCCUGAUGCAGCCAUGCCGCGUGUAUGAAGAAGGCCUUCGGGUUGUAAAGUACUUUCAGCGGGGAGGAAGGCGAUAAGGUUAAUAACCUUGUCGAUUGACGUUACCCGCAGAAGAAGCACCGGCUAACUCCGUGCCAGCAGCCGCGGUAAUACGGAGGGUGCAAGCGUUAAUCGGAAUUACUGGGCGUAAAGCGCACGCAGGCGGUCUGUCAAGUCGGAUGUGAAAUCCCCGGGCUCAACCUGGGAACUGCAUUCGAAACUGGCAGGCUAGAGUCUUGUAGAGGGGGGUGGAAUUCCAGGUGUAGCGGUGAAAAUGCGUAGAGAUCUGGAGGAAUACCGGUGGCGAAAGGCGGCCCCCUGGACAAAGACUGACGCUCAGGGUGCGAAAGCGUGGGGAGCCAAACAGGAUUAGAUACCCUGGGUAGUCCACGCCCGUAAACGAUGUCGACUUUGGAAGUUUGUUGCCCUUGAAGGCGUGGCCUUCCGGAGCUUAACCGCGUUUAAGUUCACCGCCCUGGGGGGUACGGCCCCCAAGGUUAAAAACUCCAAAUGAAUUUGACGGGGGGCCCCCCCCAA